UCCAAAGAAGCCCCGGAGUCCAUGAAUGGA
This 30-nucleotide non-coding RNA is filed under the name Homo sapiens (human). Lineage: Eukaryota; Metazoa; Chordata; Mammalia; Primates; Hominidae. The record is from RNAcentral.